GUGCAAUUAACUGAUAAGGUCCUGUGGCA
This 29-nucleotide non-coding RNA is filed under the name Homo sapiens (human). The record is from RNAcentral. Lineage: Eukaryota; Metazoa; Chordata; Mammalia; Primates; Hominidae.